RNAcentral lists this ribosomal RNA (109 nucleotides) under Monopterus albus (swamp eel). The record is from RNAcentral. Lineage: Eukaryota; Metazoa; Chordata; Actinopteri; Synbranchiformes; Synbranchidae.
GCCUGUAGCCACACAGAUGUGGUCAGGCCUGAACUUGAAAGCUAAGCAGUGUUGGGCCUGGUGAGUACUUGGAUGAGGAGCCAUCUGGGAAAGCCAGGUGCUAUAGUUA